GCCUGGGUGGCUCAGUUGGUUGAGUGUCUGACUUCAGCUCAAGUUAUUAUCUCAUGGUCUGUGAGUUCGAAUCCCAUGUCAGGCU
This 85-nucleotide transfer RNA is filed under the name Felis catus (domestic cat). It matches the Rfam family "tRNA". Rfam says of the family: Transfer RNA (tRNA) molecules are approximately 80 nucleotides in length. RNAcentral also lists the same sequence under 3 other names. Lineage: Eukaryota; Metazoa; Chordata; Mammalia; Carnivora; Felidae. The record is from Rfam by way of RNAcentral.